UGAAUUUGAAGCUUGUUCUACACCGUUGGGACAGCCAUCUGACUGGGCUGUAGAACCGAAUUCUCAGGAAUUUGAUUUUACCACGGCGAUCAAUAGUUCUGGUGGAAAAUCCUCUGCCAUGGGUCAUAACCGAUCAGGAGCUGGAAAGCCUGCAGCAGUGCUCAGGCAUUCCCCUCAGGGACCAGAUGCUCCGAAAUCCAAUCUGGAUGGAAAUUCUUCUUCAGCAUCCUCCAGCCCAGCAGUAGAGCUUCUGCUACCACUAGAAGAUCCUACAUAAGAGGUCAUCUUCUGCUUCAUCAUCAGUGGUGUCAUCAAGUGCAAGCUCCAUCUUCUCAGGUGUGUCGGUGAUGAUUCCUGUUUUUAACCUUUCUCAUCAUUCUGGGCCUUCUUGCUUUGGCUUUUGGCAAGGGAAGUAUGACUUGGAGACACAUAACUCCCAUGGGCCCCAGAACCAGUUGAGGUACUCAGCUGCACCUAAUGAAACUGUACAGUAUUUAAACGUGACUGCCCUCUCUCCGUCUGUCAACUGUAACUAUCCUUAUCCUCUAGGUCACCCCAAAAUACUCUACAAAGUUUUCAAAGAACCUACUUUGGAUUGAUCAGGGUCGUUGUCUUCCUGUCUAGAGGGCUAUUUUUUCCAGAUCUGUCUAACAAAACGGGAAAAACGUAAACUCAUUUUUACUCUGUCAUAUGUGCACAGAAUUAAAUUUUCAAGAGGGGACGUGCAUACAUAAUGAGGCCAAAGCAUUGACAGGUGUCUGGGUCACUGCUGAUUUAUUAAGGCCUUAGAUGGGGUAUAAGGUUGCUGAGAUCAGAGGUUUGAUUUUGACAGAAAAAGUGACUAUAUUUGUCGAUUACAUGCGCACCUUUCUCAAGGGAAAGCAAGAAGCCACAGGAUACCCUCCUGAAGCAGUAGAUCAGCAAAGCAGAGAAAAAUACAUCUGGGACAACCAGGCAAAUCAGGGCAUUUUGUUAGACGCGUCUAAAAUUACAUCCAACCCUAUUGAAAGACAAGUGUCUAAACUAUGUCUCAACAGCUUUUGGGUGUUACGGACAGAACUGGCCGGAGACACAAGAAAGUGUAUGAUAUAAUUUAUUGAAGCACAAGUACUUAGUAAGUGGAAGGAAGUAUACUGUCCUUUGAAUGGAGGUGCAGAGUUCUGGAGUCGAGUGGCGGAGCACAGAGGAGUUGGACCACACGGGCCAGGAGACUGGAGCGACUCACAUGGAAGACGAGAGACACACGGGACCAGGAGCUGGAGUGGAUAACUCACGGCGGACUGGAGACUCACGGGGACUGGAGCUGGAGUGCCACACACGGAGAACAGGAGCACGAAGUAGCCGGAGACGAGGUACUGGAGGCUGGUAGUAGAUUGCUCAUGAAGAAAAGGGAGUUCAAGGUGUUUAAUUAUUCAGGGGAACUAGCGUCCUAUCCUUAGUCAUAAACGACACCGGACCCAGACUGUCGUGAGGAGCUGGGUUAUAUAGGGGAGUAGAGUGGCUGAUUACGUGCAGGUGUGAGAUAGGUGACAGGUGAUUUGCAUUAGUACUCAGGUGAGGGAGUGCAGAGUGAAGGAGAGUGGCUGGAGAGAACAUGACAGACUGUGACAUUGGGGUAGUUUGUACAGAUAAGUACUUACUCAAACUAAAAUAAUCACAGAGCCUGAACACUUUUUCAAGUUUAUGUUUUCAGAAGAAUACAACGUCAAGUACUUCUCAUUCCUCAACGAUAAAAUAGCUCUAAUGCAGAGUUAGUCUGUAGCACCCCCUAACAAGGUAAACAAUGUAGGCUAUUCAUAGCAGCUUUCACCACAGCCUAUGCUCAUCUCAAGCUGUACAGUUUUAUGGAACUGUUACAAGAGAGGGUUCUUCACUAUGAUACAGAUAGUCUUAUCUAUGUCACAAAAGAGGGGCAGCUGCGACUUGAACUGGGCAAUUAUCUGGGGCAGUUGACGGAGGAGCUAGGGGGUAACAGCAUACAGAAAUUUUCUGCAGCGGGGCCCAAAAGUUAUGCCUAUCAAACCAAAAACAAAAACUACUAUGCAUGAAGGCUACAUUAAAAACUCUGAGGAGAGCGUCAUUACAGCUCCACAGCACAACACUGUGCAUACUAAAAAGGGGUUUUAUUUUAAAAACUUGACAGUUCACAGAAAGUUUAGAGUGGUGUAUGACAAAAGGCAGCUCUUAUGCCACAGUCAAACUGUACCCUUUGGUAGCCUGAUUGAUUUAAAAUGUCACACCUUGGUGUAAUGACUGACUUUGAUCCUAGGUU
Siniperca chuatsi (mandarin fish) is the source of this 2272-nucleotide long non-coding RNA. RefSeq lists it as uncharacterized. Lineage: Eukaryota; Metazoa; Chordata; Actinopteri; Centrarchiformes; Sinipercidae. The record is from RefSeq and is a predicted model, not a curated record. The transcript is spliced from 3 exons.